Molecule: non-coding RNA, 65 nt
Organism: Trichonephila inaurata madagascariensis
Lineage: Eukaryota; Metazoa; Arthropoda; Arachnida; Araneae; Nephilidae
Source: the annotation of a GenBank genome assembly
GUCCCUGUAGCGCGUUCAUUGGACUUCUAAUCCGAAGGCCGUGGGUUCGAAUCCCACCUGAGAUG